This 679-nucleotide ribosomal RNA is filed under the name Streptococcus mutans. RNAcentral describes it as "bacterial SSU rRNA". It matches the Rfam family "Bacterial small subunit ribosomal RNA", at positions 378 to 1048 of the family's 1533-position model. Lineage: Bacteria; Bacillati; Bacillota; Bacilli; Lactobacillales; Streptococcaceae. The record is from RNAcentral.
AAAGUCUGACCGAGCAGCGCCGCGUGAGUGAAGAAGGUUUUCGGAUCGUAAAGCUCUGUUGUAAGUCAAGAACGUGUGUGAGAGUGGAAAGUUCACACAGUGACGGUAGCUUACCAGAAAGGGACGGCUAACUACGUGCCAGCAGCCGCGGUAAUACGUAGGUCCCGAGCGUUGUCCGGAUUUAUUGGGCGUAAAGGGAGCGCAGGCGGUCAGGAAAGUCUGGAGUAAAAGGCUAUGGCUCAACCAUAGUGUGCUCUGGAAACUGUCUGACUUGAGUGCAGAAGGGGAGAGUGGAAUUCCAUGUGUAGCGGUGAAAUGCGUAGAUAUAUGGAGGAACACCAGUGGCGAAAGCGGCUCUCUGGUCUGUCACUGACGCUGAGGCUCGAAAGCGUGGGUAGCGAACAGGAUUAGAUACCCUGGUAGUCCACGCCGUAAACGAUGAGUGCUAGGUGUUAGGCCCUUUCCGGGGCUUAGUGCCGGAGCUAACGCAAUAAGCACUCCGCCUGGGGAGUACGACCGCAAGGUUGAAACUCAAAGGAAUUGACGGGGGCCCGCACAAGCGGUGGAGCAUGUGGUUUAAUUCGAAGCAACGCGAAGAACCUUACCAGGUCUUGACAUCCCGAUGCUAUUCUUAGAGGUAGGAAGUUACUUCGGUACAUCGGAGACAGGUGGUGCAUGG